This 150-nucleotide unclassified non-coding RNA is filed under the name soil metagenome. Its description in RNAcentral is "partial internal transcribed spacer 1". The record is from RNAcentral.
CCGAGUUAUACAACUCAUCAACCCUGUGAACAUACCUAUAACGUUGCCUCGGCGGGAACAGACGGCCCCGUAACACGGGCCGCCCCCGCCAGAGGACCCCCUAACUCUGUUUCUAUAAUGUUUCUUCUGAGUGAACAAGCAAAUAAAUUA